This 2769-nucleotide long non-coding RNA is filed under the name Zostera marina. Its description in RNAcentral is "long non-coding RNA (ZMAR_LNC004111)". Lineage: Eukaryota; Viridiplantae; Streptophyta; Magnoliopsida; Alismatales; Zosteraceae. The record is from RNAcentral.
AAUUUCAUGAGUUUCAUCGUUCUACGAAAAUACGAUUUAUUUUUUAACAGAUUUAUUUUGUUUCUGGAUUAUUUUUAUCUAUCUAUCUAUCCAUCCAUCUAUCUUUUUUCUCCUUACGUAGCUGGGUAUUUACGUUUUUUUUUUGUGAUCGAUGAUGUUCUAAAAUCUGCGUUAUCUUUCUGCAUCUGCCUUCCGUUGAUUGCGGUUGGGUUCUGGAGAAAACAUAAUUUUCGCUGAGAUCUAUUCGUCCGACGUCCAUACACCACAGUGUGAUUUUAACUGUUUUUCGUUUUCAAUUUGCAGUUCUUGGACUAUUUUUAUUUAUGAUUUUCGUAUUAUUGUUACGAUUUCUUUUGCGUUUCAAAUAUUUUAUAUUUUUUAAUUUUCACUGUCAAUAUUGGAGAUUUAAAAACAAAUUAUUUUCCAACUAUUUAGUUUUGUUUCGUCACUUUCAUCUCCUGUUGAAAAUAGCAGAUAAUUGAAGAUAACCUAAAGUUCAGGUCGUUGGUGUUACCUGUACAAAAAUGGAUCCGCGACCCGAUGAAACGGGAUGACGUCUUAUGUCGACCCGGACCCGAUUAAUUAGAGUAAGAGUUUGUUUGUUUAUGUUUUUACUAAUCGAAAUUCAACAACCUAAAAGAUAUUAUCCAUAAUGUCCGAUCAAGCCCAUGUUUUUAUGGUUUAGAACAAAUAAUUUUUUUUUGUUUAUUUUUUAAUUUCAGUUCGACGAUUUUUGAUUUUUCGACAUUCUUCGCGUCCUUUCUUUGUUGUCUUGAAAUUGAGUGAAAAUGUUCCAGUUAACUUUCAAUCAUCCAUUUGAUUGUCUCCGACGAGUUUGUCCAUCAUUGGAAUUUCUGUUAGAUUCUUCUACAAAACAAGAAACUUCGAUGUGGUUUGACCGUAGUUCCUCCUCAGUUCUUUGUUUAUUUUCCUUAAUAAAUUUCAGGAUAAUUGUACAUCUAUAACCUUCUCCAAGUUUGUCAGCGGCGGCAACCUUCAAAAACCCCUGAUUAGUCGAUACGCUAUCGUUCCCAGGAAUAGGAUCAACAUCAGAAUCGUUUUUUAUAAGAACCUACUUAUCAUUUUUCGUAGUUGAAUCAUUCCUUUUAGGAGAAUCGCAAGUCAGUUAAAAAUAAGAGAAUCUUUCGGACAAUCGAUAUUUUGACUGAAAUUUAAAAAUUAAGUUGUUAUUGGCCAAAAUAAGUGAUCUGAAAUGUAAUUCUCCCUCAGUUAUAAUGGGUACAAAUAGAAGUGAACACCGGUUGUAAAAUAUGGUAGUCCCAGAUAUGUUAUGGGUAAACUUUUAACAGUAUAUCUUAAGAUGUCAUGUAAAGAUUGAUCUUCUGCACAUACUUUUGUUCGCAUUUACCUUCAAUUUUGAAAACAAUGAAAUUUUCUCAACCAACGCUUUAAUUGCAUUAAGCGAUUUCGAGUUUGUGUUUGAGAAGAUGAGAAUAUCAUCUUCUGUAUACGUAAGAUGAGAUAUAGAAGUAGUCAAGUAGCACCAUUAAUUUGAUAGAUGUUUAUCUUUUUGUUUUUCAUUUCACUCUGUAUCAAUCUACCUAGACGUUCAUAACCAUGUCAAAUAAAAUAGAAGAUAGAUGAUCACCCUGCUUAACUCCCUUCUUGCUUUUGAAGGAAGGCGUUGAAGUCCCUUCCACUAGUACUGAGAAUGAAAUCAAAUUGUAAAAUAUAAGAUAAAAUAUAUACGUUUCAAGAGUGAAAAUUAUAAUCUCCCAACUAACUGUGUCAAUUUUUUUUUAAGAUCUAUACUCAAACAACACCUUUUGAGAGUUCUUUUUUUCCCAAAGUCAUAAACCAUCUCAUCCACUAGAAUGGUAUUAUCCGAGAUGAGUCUGAAGAUUAUAUACAACAAUUUUCAGGGAAGCCCCCUUAAAAUAGGCUCAAAAACGUCCAUUGAAUCUCAACCGUCCAUCUCAUCUUCAUUAUAAAAAAAAAAAUUCUUCAUCUACACUCUUCUCCUUAGAGUGUACUAUCUUACACAUUCUCUUUUCUUUUGCUUUCUUCUCUCUUUCUCUUUCUUCCUCUCUCUUCAUCUCUUCUUCUCAUCUCCUCUUCCUUAUUCUUCAGAUUUUUGUACCCAUUUUUUUAUAAAGGUUCUUUCGAAAUCAUGUUUAUCUCAUCUUCAGGUUUUUUAUAAAGGUUUUUUUCGUUGUUUCCUAUCUUUUUUUCCCGUUGUUUGUAAUGUAGUCUAUAUGUUGUUUGACACACCUACAUUACUUAUUCUUUAUUUUUCUACCUAUUUAUUUUUCCUCCUAUGACUCUGUUUCUAAAUUAGUUUAUGUAUUGUUCAUUAUUCUCACCAUUAACCAGAAACGAUCGGAGAAGGAGGUGCGAUCGGUACCGACAGGAACGUGAUUGGCAGGACGAUGAGUAUCCCUACCCGGCAACAUUGAAUAUUGGUAACUUCGUUUCAAUAUAUCUCUCUGCUAACAAUUUCUUGCAAUGGCGGACACAAAUGGUUAACUUGUUAGAAGGACAAGACCUUAUUGAGUUCGUUGAUGGCUCAAUAGUGGCACUCCUAAAAUUCAUUGAUGCAUCAUUGAGGGAAACAUGGGUAUUAAAUGUGAAUUUAAACCCUAGGUUUAAAUUACGGAGAAAGACUGAUCGACAAAAGGUUAGAUUACUAGUCGACUUUCUUCAACAACUCUGAGUCUAAUUACUAGGAUAGAAACAUCAAAAGGGGUAUGGGACACCUUUGAAAAGUGUGUGUGCACAAGAUUCAUUUGAGAGAGAGUUUCUAUUGAG